This 501-nucleotide ribosomal RNA is filed under the name [Candida] sp. IOY-5. Its description in RNAcentral is "eukaryotic LSU rRNA". It matches the Rfam family "Eukaryotic large subunit ribosomal RNA", at positions 62 to 648 of the family's 3401-position model. Lineage: Eukaryota; Fungi; Ascomycota; Saccharomycetes; Saccharomycetales. RNAcentral also lists the same sequence under 3 other names. The record is from RNAcentral.
AAACCACCAGGGAUUGCCUCAGUAACGGCGAGUGAAGCGGCAAAAGCUCAAAUUUGAAACCCUCGGGAUUGUAAUUUGAAGACCUGGCAUUGGAGAAAGCUACCCCAAGUUGCUUGGAAUAGUACGUCAUAGAGGGUGACAACCCCGUCUGGCUAACCGUUCUCCAUGUAUUGCCUUGUCAAAGAGUCGAGUUGUUUGGGAAUGCAGCUCAAAGUGGGUGGUAAACUCCAUCUAAAGCUAAAUACCGGUGAGAGACCGAUAGCGAACAAGUACUGUGAAGGAAAGGUGAAAAGAACUUUGAAAAGAGAGUGAAAUAGUAUGUGAAAUUGUUGAUAGGGAAGGAAAUGAGUGGAGAGUGGAGGAGGUUUCAGCCGUCUUUCGAGGCGGUGUACUGCCGAGUCCGAGUCAUUGUCAGCGAGACGGGGUAUACAAACGAGUGGCACUUGUGCUUCCCACCUAUACCCGCCCACUGCCGACAACGACAUAAUCCAGCCAUUUCAC